RNAcentral lists this ribosomal RNA (497 nucleotides) under uncultured bacterium. Its description in RNAcentral is "partial 16S ribosomal RNA". It matches the Rfam family "Bacterial small subunit ribosomal RNA", at positions 28 to 507 of the family's 1533-position model. The record is from RNAcentral.
GAUGAACGCUGGCGGCGUGCCUAAUACAUGCAAGUCGAGCGAACGGACGAGAAGCUUGCUUCUCUGAUGUUAGCGGCGGACGGGCGAGUAACACGUGGAUAACCUACCUAUAAGACUGGGAUAACUUCGGGAAACCGGAGCUAAUACCGGAUAAUAUUUUGAACCGCAUGGUUCAAAAGUGAAAGACGGUCUUGCUGUCACUUAUAGAUGGAUCCGCGCUGCAUUAGCUAGUUGGUAAGGUAACGGCUUACCAAGGCAACGAUGCAUAGCCGACCUGAGAGGAUGAUCGGCCACACUGGAACUGAGACACGGUCCAGACUCCUACGGGAGGCAGCAGUAGGGAAUCUUCCGCAAUGGGCGAAAGCCUGACGGAGCAACGCCGCGUGAGUGAUGAAGGUCUUCGGAUCGUAAAACUCUGUUAUUAGGGAAGAACAUAUGUGUAAGUAACUGUGCACAUCUUGACGGUACCUAAUCAGAAAGCCACGGCUAACUACGUG